RNAcentral lists this long non-coding RNA (272 nucleotides) under Homo sapiens (human). RNAcentral's name for it is "HSALNT0406964". Lineage: Eukaryota; Metazoa; Chordata; Mammalia; Primates; Hominidae. The record is from RNAcentral.
ACUGGUGACUCUACCCAGAGAGAAAGAACAUGGGUCCUACAUUAGGACUGACAUCAGAGGAAAGAGAAAUGUUUAUAGCCAGAAGGGACCUUGAAGAUGAGGAAGAGAAUAACAAUUUUGAUGACUGCAACAAUGAUGUUGACGCUAUAGGUUUAAAUAGUACUUUAUAAGCUACAGAGAUAUGAGAUGGACAAGACACAAUAGAACUUAACAGGACUAGCAGAUGUGCCUGCCUGAUAGGGCGGAAGCCUGGAAGUCCCACAAUCUGGAGG